UCGUUAUAAUUCAAAAUUUUAUUUAUUGAUGACCAUAAAAUUGCUCAUGUAUUAUAAGAAGAAAUUCAAAAAACCCUCCAACAUAAAAGUUAUUCAUCGCAUCGAAUCUCCAACAUUGUAUAGUAGAGUAGACGAUUUAUCAUCGUGCAUCGUUCAAGUUUCUCACACAAACAUAAAUAGAAGCUUCUAAAUUCAUAAGCAUACAAUAAGAUAAGAAAGACUAUUGUAAUUUCUGUCUCAUUUAUUGUCUAGAUUAGAUAAGUCGCUCCGUCCAGUGCCCAUAGUCGGGGCAUUUGCAAUUGAAAAAAGCUAGUACUCUUCCAUGCUUGCACUUCUCACAAAUAAAUGGG
This 350-nucleotide long non-coding RNA is filed under the name Eucalyptus grandis. RNAcentral's name for it is "long non-coding RNA (EGRA_LNC003226)". Lineage: Eukaryota; Viridiplantae; Streptophyta; Magnoliopsida; Myrtales; Myrtaceae. The record is from RNAcentral.